RNAcentral lists this ribosomal RNA (273 nucleotides) under uncultured bacterium. RNAcentral describes it as "partial 16S ribosomal RNA". It matches the Rfam family "Bacterial small subunit ribosomal RNA", at positions 524 to 796 of the family's 1533-position model. The record is from RNAcentral.
UACGGAGGAUCCAAGCGUUAUCCGGAAUCAUUGGGUUUAAAGGGUCCGUAGGUGGAUAAUUAAGUCAGAGGUGAAAUCCUGCAGCUUAACUGUAGAAUUGCCUUUGAUACUGGUUGUCUUGAGUUAUUAUGAAGUGGUUAGAAUAUGUAGUGUAGCGGUGAAAUGCAUAGAUAUUACAUAGAAUACCAAUUGCGAAGGCAGAUCACUAAUAAUAUACUGACACUGAUGGACGAAAGCGUGGGGAGCGAACAGGAUUAGAUACCCGUGUAGUCC